GAUGAGUGUAAUUUUAUUCCCACCAAGAUUUGAUAAUUUCGUGUUCAACUAAAACAAAUAGCAUACUGUUUAUCCGAAAAUACGAUAAUCUUUUCACAUAAAAUCAUGCUAUUAUAUCCGGUUACAUGUUAUUUUACCUGACAUUAAACUUCGUUCUUUUCUGAUGGUAUGUUGUCAUGCAGGCCUGGCAGUCAAAAUAUAACGCUUAAAAUAAUAAUAAAAAUAUGCAUUACAAAAGUGAAAUAUUUAUCAUCGAAUUAAGAAUGUAUGCCUGCCAAAAUUUUCUAACCUCAACGACUAUUUUUGCGGCUACGUGCUAGCCUAAAGAUCGUUACUACUACGUGCUAGCCUCAACGACCAUUCUUCAUUCUUCGCGCGCGCGUGAGACAAUUU
Molecule: long non-coding RNA, 393 nt
Filed under: Brassica napus (rape)
Lineage: Eukaryota; Viridiplantae; Streptophyta; Magnoliopsida; Brassicales; Brassicaceae
Description: long non-coding RNA (BNAP_LNC022780)
Source: RNAcentral